CCCUUAGAUGUUCUGGGCCGCACGCGCGCCACACUGAUGCAUUCAACGAGCCUAUCCUUGACCGACAGGUCCGGGUAAUCUUUGAAUCUGCAUCGUGACGGGGAUAGAUUAUUGCAAUUAUUAAUCUUCAACGAGGAAUGCCUAGUAGGCGCAAGUCAUCAGCUUGUGUCGAUUACGUCCCUGCCCUUUGUACACACCGCCCGUCGCUCCUACCGAUUGGGUGUGCUGGUGAAAUGUUCGGAUCGGCCGUUUGUCGCGGUUUCCGCGGCUCGUGGCUGAGAAGUUCAUUAAACCCUCCCACCUAGAGGAAGGAGAAGUCGUAACA
Molecule: ribosomal RNA, 325 nt
Filed under: uncultured eukaryote
Lineage: Eukaryota
Description: partial 18S ribosomal RNA
Rfam family: Eukaryotic small subunit ribosomal RNA
Source: RNAcentral